UCAGGAAUAUGAAAAUAAAGAUGUUAAUUAUGUUUCGUUAACCAUUCAACAAUGGCAAGAAGAAUAUGAUAAACAACAUCCCAGAAAAAAGGAGAAGAUUGACUGGUAUCACACUAUUCAAAAAGCAUUUUUGUCAGAAGGAAUCGCAAUUGAACCGUCUGAAAAGAUUGCCGUUUCAGCGUAUAAAUAUCUUAUCAAUUUGAUANCUGUGUUAGAACAAACAUUAUCUCGCACUAUUGUUAAUUACAUGCAUUUGUAUCUAAAUUCCAAACUUCGACCAUAUAUGAGAAAAUUAACACACUACACAAAACGAAACAGACACAAAAGGAGAGACUUGCUUGAAUAAAGUCGACUUGAAAUCCGNUAUUUUGCAUGAAUAUGUCAAGAGAUACAUGUCGCAUUUAAAUAUCCAGGCCAUCAGAGAAAUAAUUAUGGACAUCACAAACGUCGUUCGCGAACAACUAAGACAUUCCACAUAGAUGGACGAACCUACAAGAAAAGCGUUUCUCGAGAAACUGGCAAAUAUGAGGNGCAAAGUUAUUAACCCCGAUUGGUACAGCGACGAAGCUAUUGACAGAUAUUACAAAGACAUGGAGUUACGAACCGACAGAUCCGAUAGCUUACUACGUUAUGAAUCUUAAUAAAUUCGUUAUUACUGCUGCCUUGAUGCAAAAUUGGGUAAACGACAGUCUUUUGUUGCANAUAUAACAUGGACAGCAACGCAAUACCGUGGUGGACGCAAAAAUCUAUUGAUGCAUACAAAAACAUAACGCAAUGUUUCAUUGACCAAUACGAUGAGUAUCUGGCUCCGGGAUUAGAACAUGAGGAUAUUCACGUAAACGGACAAUGGACACUCAAUGAGAAAAUUGCGGAUUUCGCUGGAAUUACAACUGCAUAUUAUGCGUACAAGAACAAAAAAGCGAGAUCGGAUGACGGCCGUGAAUGGCGGCUGCAGAGAAGAUUACAACAAUGAUCAAGUUUUCUUUAUGGCUUUUGGUCAAAUAUUCUGUUCCAAUACCUUGCCCGAAACGUUAAAACAGCAUAUUUUUAAAGAUCAUUCCGUAUCUGAAAUUAGAGUACGUGGCAGUCUUUCGAACUUCCGUGAAUUCUCCGAGGUUUACAACUGCCCCGCGGGGAAGCAAAUGAAUCCGAUAAAGAAGUGCUCUUUUUGGUAACAGAACGACGAGGAACGAUAUAAUGUGUUUUUAUUUAUUAUAAAUCUACAAAAUUUUA
Pseudomyrmex gracilis is the source of this 1233-nucleotide long non-coding RNA. RefSeq lists it as uncharacterized. The record is from RefSeq and is a predicted model, not a curated record. The transcript is spliced from 9 exons. NCBI's taxonomy places the organism in Eukaryota, Metazoa, Arthropoda, Insecta, Hymenoptera, Formicidae.